This 401-nucleotide small RNA is filed under the name Arabidopsis thaliana (thale cress). Its description in RNAcentral is "ATSL169470". Lineage: Eukaryota; Viridiplantae; Streptophyta; Magnoliopsida; Brassicales; Brassicaceae. The record is from RNAcentral.
UACUAAAACUAAUUUCUUAUUGCAUGAGUGAAUGAUUAGAUAAAUAAAAAUUAUUUAAAUUAAACAAUACAAAAAAAACAAAAAAAACUGCGGCAUAGCGCGUGUGAUCAUCUAGAGUGUUAGUGAGGCAUUUUCGGUUAAUCUAAAAACGAAAUUUUGGUCUAACCAAAGUAAGCAUAGGGACAGUAUUUACCAUUCACAACUGCUCUUGGAAACCUCCGGUAGUAGAACUAAGUCAUUUUCAGACAGGACCAAAAAGAAAUAGUAACUCAUAUGUAGAACUUACACUUCAACUUUUAUUCCCAUAUAUAUGAAAGUUGGAAAACUCUCUACAUAUAAGUGACACAUCAUCACACAAGAAAAUGACAUGUGUCAUUCUACAUUAAUUAAAUAAAAAAAUU